GAUGAACGCUGGCGGCGUGCCUAAUACAUGCAAGUCGAGCGAACGGACGAGAAGCUUGCUUCUCUGAUGUUAGCGGCGGACGGGUGAGUAACACGUGGAUAACCUACCUAUAAGACUGGGAUAACUUCGGGAAACCGGAGCUAAUACCGGAUAAUAUUUUGAACCGCAUGGUUCAAAAGUGAAAGACGGUCUUGCUGUCACUUAUAGAUGGAUCCGCGCUGCAUUAGCUAGUUGGGAAGGUAACGGCUUACCAAGGCAACGAUGCAUAGCCGACCUGAGAGGGGGAUCGGCCACACUGGAACUGAGACACGGACCAGACGCCUACGGGAGGCAGCAGUAGGGAAUCUUCCGCAAUGGGCGAAAGCCUGACGGAGCAACGCCGCGUGAGUGAUGAAGGUCUUCGGAUCGUAAAACUCUGUUAUUAGGGAAGAACAUAUGUGUAAGUAACUGUGCACAUCUUGACGGUACCUAAUCAGAAGGCCACGGCUAACUACGUG
Molecule: ribosomal RNA, 497 nt
Filed under: uncultured bacterium
Lineage: Bacteria
Description: partial 16S ribosomal RNA
Rfam family: Bacterial small subunit ribosomal RNA
Source: RNAcentral